This 186-nucleotide ribosomal RNA is filed under the name uncultured bacterium. Its description in RNAcentral is "partial 16S ribosomal RNA". It matches the Rfam family "Bacterial small subunit ribosomal RNA", at positions 338 to 541 of the family's 1533-position model. The record is from RNAcentral.
CCUACGGGGGGCUGCAGUGGGGAAUCUUGCACAAUGGAGGAAACUCUGAUGCAGCGAUGCCGCGUGAGUGAAGAAGGCCCUUGGGUUGUAAAGCUCUUUCGUCGGGGAAGAAAAUGACUGUACCCGAAUAAGAAGGUCCGGCUAACUUCGUGCCAGCAGCCGCGGUAAUACGAAGGGACCUAGCGU